RNAcentral lists this ribosomal RNA (474 nucleotides) under Rhodococcus sp. TFB. RNAcentral describes it as "bacterial SSU rRNA". It matches the Rfam family "Bacterial small subunit ribosomal RNA", at positions 1 to 499 of the family's 1533-position model. The record is from RNAcentral. Lineage: Bacteria; Bacillati; Actinomycetota; Actinomycetes; Mycobacteriales; Nocardiaceae.
UUAAAGUUUUAAUGGCUCAGGACGAACGCUGGCGGCGUGCUUAACACAUGCAAGUCGAGCGGUAAGGCCCUUCGGGGUACACGAGCGGCGAACGGGUGAGUAACACGUGGGUGAUCUGCCCUGCACUUCGGGAUAAGCCUGGGAAACUGGGUCUAAUACCGGAUAUGACCUUCGGCUGCAUGGCUGAGGGUGGAAAGGUUUACUGGUGCAGGAUGGGCCCGCGGCCUAUCAGCUUGUUGGUGGGGUAAUGGCCUACCAAGGCGACGACGGGUAGCCGACCUGAGAGGGUGACCGGCCACACUGGGACUGAGACACGGCCCAGACUCCUACGGGAGGCAGCAGUGGGGAAUAUUGCACAAUGGGCGAAAGCCUGAUGCAGCGACGCCGCGUGAGGGAUGACGGCCUUCGGGUUGUAAACCUCUUUCAGCAGGGACGAAGCGAAAGUGACGGUACCUGCAGAAGAAGCACCGGCCA